GCCGAAGUGGUGGAAUGGCAUACACGUCGGUCUCAAAAACCGAUGGGCUCACGCUCGUAAGGGUUCAACUCCCUUCUUCGGCA
Molecule: transfer RNA, 83 nt
Filed under: Candidatus Omnitrophota bacterium
Lineage: Bacteria; Pseudomonadati; Candidatus Omnitrophota
Description: Candidatus Omnitrophica bacterium tRNA-Leu
Rfam family: tRNA
About the family: Transfer RNA (tRNA) molecules are approximately 80 nucleotides in length. Their secondary structure includes four short double-helical elements and three loops (D, anti-codon, and T loops).
Source: RNAcentral